GACGAACGCUGGCGGCGUGCCUAAUACCUGCAAGUAGAACGCAGUUGCGAACGGGUGAGUAACGCGUAGGUAACUGCCCCAUAGCGGGGGAUAACUAUUGGAAACCAUAGCUAAUACCGCAUAAUGUAAGACGGACCUGCGUUGUAUUGGCUAGUGGGUGAGGUAAAGGCCUACCAAGGCGACGAUACAUAGCCGACCUGAGAGGGUGUGCGGCCACACCGGGACUGAGACACGGCCCAGACUCCUACGGGAGGCAGCAGUAGGGGAUCUUCGGGAAUGGACGGAAGUCUGACCGAGCAACGCCGCGUGAGUGAAGAAGGUUUUCGGAUCGUAAAGCUCUGUUGUUAGAGAAGCGUUAACUAACCAGAAAGGGACGGCUAACUACGUGCCAGCAGCCGCGGUAAUUC
This 407-nucleotide ribosomal RNA is filed under the name uncultured bacterium. RNAcentral's name for it is "partial 16S ribosomal RNA". It matches the Rfam family "Bacterial small subunit ribosomal RNA", at positions 28 to 526 of the family's 1533-position model. The record is from RNAcentral.